Molecule: long non-coding RNA, 2976 nt
Filed under: Sus scrofa (pig)
Lineage: Eukaryota; Metazoa; Chordata; Mammalia; Artiodactyla; Suidae
Description: lncRNA (ENSSSCG00050073420.1)
Source: RNAcentral
GUUCCCAAGCCAAUAACUGAAUCUUCACCACAGCAGUGACAACACUGGAUCCUUAACCACAAUGCUAUUGAGGAACUCCCUAAAAUGAUUUAUUUGAUGAAACUGAUGUACUGCUUACUCUGCUAAGGAGGCAGACUUUUAAAUUUAAAAAAAAUUCUUGAAGUAUAAUUGGCAUAUAACACAGUUUAAUUGUACAACUUGAUAUCCAUAUACAUUGUGAAAUGAUCACAGUAAGUCUUAAAAUGAUACAUUUUGUGUGAUUGUGACCUAAAAAAUAAAAGCCAUUUAAAUUACAGAGUCCUCUGGUCAGAAUGGCCAUCAUUAGUAAGUCUACCAAUAACAAAUGCUCGAGAGGGUGUGGAGAAAAGAGAACCCUCCUUCACUGUUGGUGGGAAUGUAAAUUGGUACAACUACUAUGGAAAACAAUAUGGAGGAACUCCUGUCGUUUUUUUUAAAAAAAGAAAUUAUCAAAGGUAGCCUAAUGAGUGUCAAGUGGUAUCUAACUGUGGUUUUGAUUUGCAUUUCCCUGAUGACUAAUGAUGUAGAACAUUUUUUUCAUGUGCUUAUUGACCAUUUGUGUAUCUUUGGAGAAAUGUCUGUUAUCUUUUGCCCAUUUAAAAAAUAAGGUUCUCUAUCUUUUUUGAGUUCUUCAACACUUUUUUAUUUAUUUUAUUUUUUUGUCUUUUUGCCUUUUCUAGGACAGCUUCCGUGGCACGUGGAGGUUCGCAGGCUAGGGGUCUAAUCGGAGCUGUAGCCACCGGCCUACACCAGAGCCACAGCAACGCGAGAUCUGAGCCGCAUCUGCAACCUACACCACAGCUCACGGCAACGCUGGAUCCUUAACCCACUGAAUGAGACCAGGGAUCGAACCCACAACCUCAUGGUUGCUAGUUGGAUUUGUUAACCACUGGGCCACGAUGGGAACUCCUUCAUCACUUUUUUAAAUUGAGCAAAUAAAUAUCAUAAACUCCACCCGAAGCUCACUGGUUGGUAAAAUUUAUCCUCAUUAUGAUGUUACGUAAUUAUAGUAUGUAAAAUGUGAACACCACUGAAGCAGCAUGAUGACUAUCGCCUGUAUGUUCCAGAGCUCUGAUCCCAUUCAUGGCACAAGAUAUUUCUAUUUGAUCACAGUAGCAUUUUGUAAGUUAGUAAAGCCCUAAAACAUUAAUUAAUUUUGUCAAAUUUUAAGUAAAAUAUAAUACAAUGAUUUAAUAUGUGAUUUAAUAAAUGUCAUUCCAACAACUGAAGAUUAAAAAAACUUUUAGUGUAAGCAAAAAUAGAAUUAAAUAGUUAUAAUAAAAUCCACUGAUUUUCUCAAGCUAUAGCUAAUGUGAAGUUUGACAUCUAUGUACAUUACUGAAAAUAAGUUGCAAAAAAAAUUACCUAAUUUCCUGCUAGAUAAAUCAGAGGUAAGAACCACCUUCUCUUCUUUUUACAAAGUCUGGUAUCUUGCACAAUAACAGUGACUAAAAUAAAUGGUGCCAAAUUUUUAGAGAGGGUCUUGUUUAAUUCAGAAUAUAAUUAAAAUCUCAUGUAGCUUUAUUGGUUUUAGUAUCCAGCAGAGAAAAAAUAUUGAAACUCCAAGAGAUUUUGAAUUAAAUAGCUACAACUGUUUUGUUUUAUUAGUUCUGACUGUGUGAAAAAAAAAUUAUAAGGACAACUUUGGAAAAAUCUAGUUCUUUUAAAGCCCCAAAUGACUUUUAAAACAAUAAAACCAACUAUAAAACCUACACAAGUGAUAUUAAAAAUUAUGUAGUUCAAUGCAUGUGACAUUCACAAAUGUGGCUGUAAUUUUUUUUUAACUAUAGCAAAAUGAACAUGGAUCUGACGACUGGAUUUAGAAGAGGUGGUGUUAUAUAGCUUAACAGAAUUAAGUGCUUCAAUUUGCUGGUGAGGAUUAUGUAGCUAAAUUGGAAUGUUAUACCAAUGCCUUUUAAGAUCCCCAUCCACCUCACAGGGUCUGUGGCUAAAUCAAAGAAAGGAAUGAUGCUUCCUUUUCCUAUAUUAGUGAUUAUUUCUUUGCUAUUUUAAUAUUUAUUUUUGGAACAUUUGUAGAUUUAGAUCUUUAUGGCUGAUGGCUGAGUCAUGCACGGAAUAAACUAUAAACCCAUACUAUUUAUGAAGAUGGGGAAGGAAGGCUGGCUAUUGAUCAACAGUACGAGUAUUACAAGAAUUGGAGCAAUCAUCGCAAUCACUUGCUAAAGGGAGAAGGGGAGGAAAAAGGAGAAAAACAAAGAUGAGGGAGAAACAUUUUGUGAGAAAAUAAUAAUCAUAGUUAAUCUGCUUCAUUUACUGAGGUCUCAAUCUUGAAGAUGCAAACAUCAUUUGUGAAGUCCUUUAACAUAACACCUGUCCUUUCUUCGUCCCUAAAUCCCGUCUCUGUCCUUAGUACAGAACACUUUACUUUUCACAGUCUCUCAGUACCGGCUUGAAUUCUCUAUCAGGCCAUGUGAGGAGAAUUAUGACCAGUGGAGGGGGCACAACAUCAGACCAGACCCUGGAGAGACCAAUGAUUUGCAAACAGCCUUGCACAGAUGGUUUUCAAGAGCAAUGCACUACCUGAACUUGUAUGCAGACUUAACAAAUAAUUCAAAUAAUUUUUAUCUUUUGAAAAACCUAAGACAAUGUUUUUACUUUUUAACAUAUAAACUCAUAAAGUAUUUAUAUUAAAAUUUUCAAAUCUAUAGAGAAGCUGAAACUAGUACAAUGAAUGUCUGUAUACUCCUCACUUAAAUCCGUCAGUGACAAUUUUUCUACUUUGGUUUAUCUCCCUCUUUACAUAUAUGUACAUAUGUAUAUGUGUGUGUGUAUGCUGAUUCAAAAGUUGCAGAUUUCAUGACACUUCACACCUAAAUUCCUUAGCUUGUAUCUCCCAGAAUAAGGACAUUUUACCCACAAUACCAAUAUCACACCUAAAACAAUGACCAUUAGUUUAAUAAUGUCAUCUCACACAUAAUCCCUGUUCAGUUUUCCCCU